Molecule: ribosomal RNA, 886 nt
Filed under: Sigridea californica
Lineage: Eukaryota; Fungi; Ascomycota; Arthoniomycetes; Arthoniales; Roccellaceae
Description: LSU rRNA
Rfam family: Eukaryotic large subunit ribosomal RNA
Source: RNAcentral
AUAUCAAUAAGCGGAGGAAAAGAAACCAACAGGGAUUGCCCCAGUAACGGCGAGUGAAGCGGCAACAGCUCAAAUUUGAAAUCUGGCCCCUCCGGGGUCCGAGUUGUAAUUUGCAGAGGAUGCUUCGGCGUCGGCCCCGGGUCAAGUCCCCUGGAACGGGGCGUCCGAGAGGGUGAGAGCCCCGUACCCCCCCGGGUUGCCUUCGCCGUGUGAAGCUCCUUCGAAGAGUCGAGUUGUUUGGGAAUGCAGCUCUAAGCGGGAGGUAAAUUUCUUCUAAAGCUAAAUACCGGCCAGAGACCGAUAGCGCACAAGUAGAGUGAUCGAAAGAUGAAAAGCACUUUGGAAAGAGAGUUAAAAAGCACGUGAAAUUGUUGAAAGGGAAGCUCUUGCCGCCAGACUUGCCGCGGGGGCUCAGCCGCCCUCCUGGGCGGUGUACUCCCCCGUCGGCGGGCCAGCGUCGGUUCGGGCGGCCGGAUAAAGGCCCCGGGAAGGUAGCACCCCUCGGGGUGUGUUAUAGCCCGGGGUGCAAUGCGGCCAGCCCGGUCCGAGGAACGCGUUCGCGAGGACGCUGGCGUAAUGGUUGCAAGCGACCCGUCUUGAAACACGGACCAAGGAGUCUAACAUCUGUGCGAGUGUUUGGGUGUCAAACCCAUACGCGCAAUGAAAGUGAACGGAGGUGGGAACCCCCUCGAGGGGUGCACCAUCGACCGAUCCUGAUGUCUUCGGAUGGAUUUGAGUAAGAGCAUAGCUGUUGGGACCCGAAAGAUGGUGAACUAUACCUGGAUAGGGUGAAGCCAGAGGAAACUCUGGUGGAGGCUCGCAGCGGUUCUGACGUGCAAAUCGAUCGUCAAAUCUGGGUAUAGGGGCGAAAGACUAAUCGAACCAU